This is a long non-coding RNA of Nanorana parkeri, 259 nucleotides long. RefSeq lists it as uncharacterized. The transcript has 3 exons. NCBI's taxonomy places the organism in Eukaryota, Metazoa, Chordata, Amphibia, Anura, Dicroglossidae. The record is from RefSeq and is a predicted model, not a curated record.
AUCUCUCGGAUGUCUCUCGUAUUCACAUAACGGAACUUUGUGUCCUCCUGGUCUCAGUCGUGGCCCUUCGCCUGCAGGCGCUCCCUGACACGUUGUCACCAGCAGGGGGCGCCCUCCCUCGUCUUCUGACAUGCAGCGUCCCGUCUCUUGUGGCUGCAGCUACUGUCCUGGCAGCUUCUCUGCAUGACUGUGGUGAGUCCGAGCUCGUGUCACAUGAUGUCCUGCUGACUGCCAUGAGAGUGUGCCUCUCCGAGACGCC